AACGUUGCCACCGUCUCCCGAACGGGCGAGCACAGUCACCUCACGCUGUCGGUGGGUGUCCCGCCGUUACCCGGUGUUUCAGAGGAAACACGUACACUCCCUUGCGUAGAACGCAUUCAAGAACGCGACAGAUUCAACCGCACCUUGGACGCUUGACGUCACAAUGUUUCUCACAAAGCGACCGCCAGCAGAGCUGAUCAUUCGCCGCCGCGACGGCACAGAAGACCGCUUCGUCCAGCCGGCUGCAGCGGCUGUGGAGCAGGCGUCGCGCACCGCGACGAACGACGACCACGAAGAGACGUAUCAGAUCGUUAUGGAGUGCGCGCCGUACACCGCAAGCUUCAACGCCCUUCUCGCCAAGGAUUCGGUGCACGAAGACUCGCGGCAGAUGGUCGCCCUCGUACAUCAUCGCAUGCACUCUGAGGGAAUACCUUUGAACACGCAGACGUACAACUUGCUGAUGAAACGAGUCACCCGUUUCACCGAUGGCGCCAUCUUCACCCUCUACGACGAGCUCAAGAGUGAGGGGCUGAAGGAGAACAGUAGCGUGCGGCCCAACAUGGAGAGCUACAUGCUACUGUUUCGCGCAUGCGAGCGCAGCGCGCUGUACAACCGGGCCUUCCUCUUCUACCAGCAGCUGCGAGAGCAGUUUCAUCUGGUGCCCGAGACAGCCGUGUACAACACCCUGCUGGGGUACUGCGCGGCCGUCCGUGACGUGGCACAGGCAACCUUUCUUAUCGAGGAGAUGAAGCAGCUCAACGUGCAGCGCGACGUGAACACGUACAACUGCCUCAUGAGUGUGAUGAUGGAAUCAGCGCCGUACGAGGAGACGCUGAAGGUGUUUCAGGAACUGCUCUAUCUCAACUUGAAGCCGACGAUUCGGAGCUACAACACCAUCCUGAAGGCGGCGUGCCGGCAUGGCGAUUAUGACCGUGCUUUCCAGUUCGUGGAGGAGAUGAAGAAGAAGGGCCUCAUCCCGAAUGUGGAGACGUACAACUACCUGAUCACCGUGUGUGAGCAGCGGCUCGACUACGUGCGCGGUACUGGCGCCUACUCAGCAGAGCGCCGCACACGGGAGCAGAUUCUUCAAGGCUUGCAGGCUAUUGCCGAGCUCGUCAUGACACUCCUGCGCGAGAUGCGGUCAAUCCAGGUGUGGCCGGACACCUACACCUACAACAAAGCGCUCAGCAUCCUUCGGAGCUGUGAGGACGAGCGGGUGUUCGUUGUGUACAACGACAUGGUGUUGCACACGAGCGAGAUCGUGGACCGAUCCAGAGGCGCUGGCCGUGAACCCUCUUCGUCGUCGCGCAAAUGGGGGAUAGCGAACGGCAAUGACGAUGGCAUGCAUCGGGCCGAUGCCGGCAUACUCUUGGAAGAGGCGCUCCAAGCGGAAGACGAGGAGGAAGUGGGUAACAUGCGCAGCGAUGCCGUUCGACCUAACCUGGAGACCUGGCGGCAGAUGAUGAAGGCGUGUCUCUUCUACCAGCACUACACAUUGGCGAAGGAGGUGAGCGCAGACAUGCGGAAGAGCGGCAUGACGCUGAAUGCCUCGCUGGGGCUGCUUCUUCUGGAGGUGUGCUGUGCAGCCAAGGACCUUAAAUGGGCCGAGGAUGUGGUCGCGGAGCUGAAGGAGCGGGACGUCCUCAUCGAUACACCGCUCAUGAACGCCUUUCUCCGCGUCCUCUGCGCGGUGGACGCCGGAACGGCUAUCUUCUCCGAGUACGAGCAGAUGCGCAUGGGCAUUCACCCGACCGGCGCCUGGGCCAACACGGAUACGUGUAACAUUGUCCUGCGCUACGCCCACGCGAAACCGAGUAAGGCCGCCUUUGCCGAAAGUCUCUACACGAUGAUGGUGCAGCCCUACUCUAUCGCAGCCGCCAACGAGGAGACGUUUUGCAUUCGCCUCGACGCUUUGACGGGCAAGAUGGAUGUGCCGGUGGACAGUGUAGUCGCCUUCGUGGAGGAUGUGACGCACAAUAGUAGCCCCCUCACCGUCGCCUUCUAUCACUCUGUCCUGCGCUUCUUUCUCGUCCGCGACGAUGCGCGCAUUCAAGUCUGGUUUGAUCGACUGAGCGCGGAGCACGGCAGCUCCGCCAAUGCCAGUGUACCAGCCGCGGACGUGCAGUGCUACACGAUUCUGAUGCAGUACUACCUCGCUCACGCGCGGUACGAUAUGGUGGAACAGCUGUUCCACCAGAUCCAAUGCAGUUCGGAGCUAGAGGCGAGCACCGAGUCCUACUAUGCGCUCUUUGAAGUCGCCGGUCGACAAGGCGACGUCGCAGCGGUGAGGCGGGUGUUCCACCAGGCCUGCGUGAACUGCAUUCCUCUAGACGUGCUUUGCUACAAUAGCAUUUUGAAGACCCUCGUUGAGCACGAGGAGCCUUUUGUGUACGAUGUGCUCAGCGACAUGAAGAAGCACCGAGUGCCGCCAGCAGAGAGCACGAUGGCCGUCUUCCUCGCUGACGCGCACGGACGCCAGGUCUUGGCGGAGGUCGUUUCUCGCGCCCUCUUUUACACACCACCGCCGCCGAUCACGCUGCAGAAGAUGAAGGUGCGAGGGGAGGGAUGAAAGAGAUGAAGAAGCUGCAGUGCUCAUCCCGCUUUCAUGACAAGCCAAACGCAAGGGUGAUGGGGGGGGGACAGGAUGCAGGCCCCUCCUGCUCUCACCCUGCGCAUGUCUUGGAGCUUGUCUCGCCGUGGGAAAGGGCAUCUUGUGGGCGUAUGUGUGUGUCUGAUGUGUGUGUGCGUGGGGGGGGUCAUCCCCGUGUGGAACUAUGCUAUUUGAUGUACACUACUUGUGCGCGCACAAGAGCCAAC
RNAcentral lists this unclassified non-coding RNA (2817 nucleotides) under Leishmania donovani. RNAcentral's name for it is "gene:LdHU3.32.1630(CDS-product:Pentatricopeptide_ repeat_domain/PPR_repeat/PPR_repeat_family_putative)". The record is from RNAcentral. Lineage: Eukaryota; Euglenozoa; Kinetoplastea; Trypanosomatida; Trypanosomatidae.